UGGAAGACUAGUGAUUUUGUUGUUCGGCUUUGCGACCGCUAACAAAAAAUCACCAGUUUCCUA
RNAcentral lists this microRNA precursor (63 nucleotides) under Daphnia pulex (common water flea). Its description in RNAcentral is "Dpu-Mir-7-P10_pre stem-loop". The record is from RNAcentral. Lineage: Eukaryota; Metazoa; Arthropoda; Branchiopoda; Diplostraca; Daphniidae.